UUGCACGCUGGCGGCAGGCCUCACCCCUGCCAGUCGCGCGGAUUAAGGGAGCUUGCUCCUGGAUUCAGCGGCGGACGGGUGAGUAAUGCCUAGGAAUCUGCCUGGUAGUGGGGGAUAACGUCCGGAAACGGGCGCUAAUACCGCAUACGUCCUGAGGGAGAAAGUGGGGGAUCUUCGGACCUCACGCUAUCAGAUGAGCCUAGGUCGGAUUAGCUAGUUGGUGGGGUAAAGGCCUACCAAGGCGACGAUCCGUAACUGGUCUGAGAGGAUGAUCAGUCACACUGGAACUGAGACACGGUCCAGACUCCUACGGGAGGCAGCAGUGGGGAAUAUUGGACAAUGGGCGAAAGCCUGAUCCAGCCAUGCCGCGUGUGUGAAGAAGGUCUUCGGAUUGUAAAGCACUUUAAGUUGGGAGGAAGGGCAGUAAGUUAAUACCUUGCUGUUUUGACGUUACCAACAGAAUAAGCACCGGCUAACUUCGUG
This 483-nucleotide ribosomal RNA is filed under the name uncultured bacterium. RNAcentral's name for it is "partial 16S ribosomal RNA". It matches the Rfam family "Bacterial small subunit ribosomal RNA", at positions 30 to 507 of the family's 1533-position model. The record is from RNAcentral.